UGAGGAAUAUUGGGCAAUGCCCGCAAGGGUGACCCAGCAACGCCGCGUGGAGGAUGAAUGUCGUAAGAUUGUAAACUCCUGUUAGAGGGGAAGAAUAGUACCGGUUGGACCGGUAUAUGACUGUACCCUCAGAGAAAGCCCCGGCUAACUACGUGCCAGCAGCCGCGGUGAUACGUAGGGGGCAAGCGUUGUCCGGAUUUACUGGGUGUAAAGGGCGCGCAGGCGGGAUAAAAAGUCAGUGGUGAAAUCCUACAGCUUAACUGUAGAACUGCCUUUGAUACUUUUAUUCUUGAGUUCGGGAGAGAGAGACGGAAUUCCAGGUGUAGUGGUGAAAUACGUAGAUAUCUGGAAGAACACCAGUUGCGAAGGCGGUCUCUUGGUCCGACACUGACGCUGAGGCGCGAAAGCGUGGGGAGCAAACA
This 422-nucleotide ribosomal RNA is filed under the name uncultured bacterium. RNAcentral describes it as "bacterial SSU rRNA". It matches the Rfam family "Bacterial small subunit ribosomal RNA", at positions 355 to 774 of the family's 1533-position model. The record is from RNAcentral.